RNAcentral lists this microRNA (23 nucleotides) under Macacine gammaherpesvirus 4 (Rhesus lymphocryptovirus). Its description in RNAcentral is "rlcv-miR-rL1-9-3p". Its record names the gene rlcv-miR-rL1-9-3p. Lineage: Duplodnaviria; Heunggongvirae; Peploviricota; Herviviricetes; Herpesvirales; Orthoherpesviridae. The record is from miRBase by way of RNAcentral.
UCGAUGCAUGGUCCCCCCUUAGU